UCCAUCUGCCAUCUGCCAGUGUGUGGGAGCUCUGUAUGUGUGAGAGUAUCCUUGAAGUGGCCAGUUUCCUUUCAGAAAGCUCCAGGAAGGGAAAGGAGUGCUGCCUCAAGCCCCAGGUAGCUAUGAUCAAGGGUCUAAGCCAAUGAGAGCAGUUUGUUGAGCUGGCAGAUUUGUAGCAUCCACUCUGAAUAGAACAGUGCAAAGGUCCUCCUCACUCUCAGUAUUUGGUUUUGUACACCGAAGAAGAUCAGGCCUAACUUCCUCUCAGCGGCACAGUGACAUGCUCCUCUGUCAGCCUGUGAGGGGAACACAGGGGGUUUCAAAGUCUUAAACUCCAUCUCCCUAAGUUGACAUGCUCUCUUUCUCCAUGGACCUCUUAGUAUUCAGAGAAGCUGUUUGCAGGGUCAUUAGGCUCAGCAGGGGAGUUGGAACACUGUACUAUACAGUACCUCAGCCUAGCUGUCAGAUCAUCCUUUUUGCUAUAGCCUCCAUCAGGAUUUUGAUAUGUGUGACCAUUGAUGAUUCAUUGUUUCCAGCCGUGGGCACAGCUUCCCGCAAAUAACACGUUGUCAGCAGGUCUCCAUGAUCUGGAGUUGGGGCCAGGGCAUGCCCUGGGCAUGAGCAGGGUGUUCAGGGGGCAGCAAAAGGGCCUUUCUCCCUCUCUCUACCACAAAGACUUCCUGGAUUUGGGGACAUUGACCCAGAAUCAUUUGUUCUUUUCAGAAGAAGAGUUUCCUAAUGCUUUGUACUGAAGGAGAGAUGGCGGAAGAGAAACAAGGGCCAUUCAGGCUCCUUGGUAAUGCCCAGAUUGGGCAGGGGUCUUUUGUGCUGCCACUGCCUUCUGUGCCCUGGAGGACAACCAAAGGGCCGCUGGACUCUCAGUGCAGCUUUGCCCUGGGAGCAGUGUGGCCACCCAGCCUUGAGUUUCCUAGAUGGGCUGUCAGCAAGAGGGGGUGAUCCUGUCUCCUGUGUAAAUACAGUGAGCCGAUAUGUGCUCAGAAAAACCCAGUUGCUUGCUGUUGCCCUUAUCUGUGGCAUUUUUGCAUAUUGGUUUGCUGCUGGCACUAAGCAGACAACUCCAUGAAAAACGAAACAAAAGUCUUUUCAAGCAAAGGUGUUUUGGAAAUUCUUGCUUUUUUUUAUGUCAGUGUUGUGUUCUAUUUUAAGUCCUUCUUUUAUAUUGGUGUUGUUAUAGUGAAGAGAACAGGAUAGGCUGAUGUGUAAUUAUUUCUGCCGGGACAUUGGCAUUUAAUGCCGCUGCCUCUCUUAUCUGCCCCCACCUUUCUUUAUUCCCAAGCUAGGAUGGCUAUGUUGGGCUGACCCCUCGCUUCCCCCUCCCCCUGCCCCGUGCAGUGACUCCCUUCAGAACCAAUCUUUCUAACACCUCUAAUCAGCAGCAGGGUGAACCUCUUUGUCAGGCUGGUUUUUGGGUGCUCUGUGCCCCCCCUCUACAGUUUUGCUUACCUCUUGAGGUGUUUUGUAAUUCAUUUUCUCUGUUUUGUAAAACCUUUUGAUUGUACUGAAAUGAUUUCUGCAGUCACUUUCAGAAAUAAAUGGUCCUUAAUUUGUGUACUCAGUGUUCUGAAUCUUAGUCUCAGGUAUUUCUGUUGUUGAAGAUCUCUGAAUGAAUAGGAACUCUCACCAUGGGAUUUAUUGUUACAAUGC
RNAcentral lists this long non-coding RNA (1665 nucleotides) under Heterocephalus glaber (naked mole-rat). Its description in RNAcentral is "lncRNA (ENSHGLG00100037483.1)". Lineage: Eukaryota; Metazoa; Chordata; Mammalia; Rodentia; Bathyergidae. The record is from RNAcentral.